GACGAACGCUGGCGGCGUGCUUAACACAUGCAAGUCGAACGGUAAGGCCCUUCGGGGUACACGAGUGGCGAACGGGUGAGUAACACGUGGGUGAUCUGCCCUGCACUUCGGGAUAAGCCUGGGAAACUGGGUCUAAUACCGGAUAGGACUCCUGGCUUCAUGGUUGGGGGUGGAAAGCUUUUGGGGGGUGGGAUGGGCCCGCGGCCUAGCAGCUUGUUGGUGGGGUAAUGGCCUGCCAAGGCGACGACGGGUAGCCGGCCUGAGAGGGUGACCGGUCACACUGGGACUGAGAUACGGCCCAGACUCCUACGGGAGGCAGCAGUGGGGAAUAUUGCACAAUGGGCGCAAGCCUGAUGCAGCGACGCCGCGUGAGGGAUGACGGCCUUCGGGUUGUAAACCUCUUUCAGCUAUGACGAAGCGCAAGUGACGGUAGUAGCAGAAGAAGGACCGGCCAACUACGUGCCAGCAGCCGCCGUAA
Molecule: ribosomal RNA, 478 nt
Filed under: uncultured bacterium
Lineage: Bacteria
Description: partial 16S ribosomal RNA
Rfam family: Bacterial small subunit ribosomal RNA
Source: RNAcentral